RNAcentral lists this ribosomal RNA (497 nucleotides) under uncultured bacterium. RNAcentral describes it as "partial 16S ribosomal RNA". It matches the Rfam family "Bacterial small subunit ribosomal RNA", at positions 28 to 507 of the family's 1533-position model. The record is from RNAcentral.
GAUGAACGCUGGCGGCGUGCCUAAUACAUGCAAGUCGAGCGAACAGAUAAGGAGCUUGCUCCUUCGACGUUAGCGGCGGACGGGUGAGUAACACGUGGGUAACCUACCUAUAAGACUGGGAUAACUUCGGGAAACCGGAGCUAAUACCGGAUAACAUUUGGAACCGCAUGGUUCUAAAGUGAAAGAUGGUUUUGCUAUCACUUAUAGAUGGACCCGCGCCGUAUUAGCUAGUUGGUAAGGUAACGGCUUACCAAGGCAACGAUACGUAGCCGACCUGAGAGGGUGAUCGGCCACACUGGAACUGAGACACGGUCCAGACUCCUACGGGAGGCAGCAGUAGGGAAUCUUCCGCAAUGGGCGAAAGCCUGACGGAGCAACGCCGCGUGAGUGAUGAAGGGUUUCGGCUCGUAAAACUCUGUUAUUAGGGAAGAACAAAUGUGUAAGUAACUGUGCACGUCUUGACGGUACCUAAUCAGAAAGCCACGGCUAACUACGUG